AAUAGAUACCCUGGUAGUCCACGCCGUAAACGAUGAGUGCUAAGUGUUAGAGGGUUUCCGCCCUUUAGUGCUGCAGCUAACGCAUUAAGCACUCCGCCUGGGGAGUACGGCCGCAAGGCUGAAACUCAAAGGAAUUGACGGGGGCCCGCACAAGCGGUGGAGCAUGUGGUUUAAUUCGAAGCAACGCGAAGAACCUUACCAGGUCUUGACAUCCUCUGACCUCCCUGGAGACAGGGCCUUCCCCUUCGGGGGACAGAGUGACAGGUGGUGCAUGGUUGUCGUCAGCUCGUGUCGUGAGAUGUUGGGUUAAGUCCCGCAACGAGCGCAACCCUUGACCUUAGUUGCCAGCAUUCAGUUGGGCACUCUAAGGUGACUGCCGGUGACAAACCGGAGGAAGGUGGGGAUGACGUCAAAUCAUCAUGCCCCUUAUGACCUGGGCUACACACGUGCUACAAUGGAUGGUACAAAGGGCUGCGAGACCGCGAGGUUAAGCCAAUCCCAGAAAACCAUUCCCAGUUCGGAUUGCAGGCUGCAACCCG
RNAcentral lists this ribosomal RNA (539 nucleotides) under uncultured bacterium. RNAcentral's name for it is "bacterial SSU rRNA". It matches the Rfam family "Bacterial small subunit ribosomal RNA", at positions 777 to 1314 of the family's 1533-position model. The record is from RNAcentral.